This 253-nucleotide ribosomal RNA is filed under the name uncultured bacterium. Its description in RNAcentral is "partial 16S ribosomal RNA". It matches the Rfam family "Bacterial small subunit ribosomal RNA", at positions 524 to 776 of the family's 1533-position model. The record is from RNAcentral.
UACGUAGGAUGCUAGCGUUGUCCGGAUUUACUGGGCGUAAGGCGCGCGCAGGCGGCACUGUAAGUAAGGUGUGAAAUAUCCCUGCUCAACGGGGAGGGUGCACUUUAGACUGCAGAGCUAGAGGACGGUAGAGGGGGGUGGAAUUGCUGGUGUAGCGGUGAAAUGCGUAGAGAUCAGCAGGAACACCCGUGGCGAAGGCGGCCCCCUGGGCCGAACCUGACGCUGAGGCGCGAAGGCUAGGGGAGCGAACGGG